GCCGCAAAUGCGGGGAGCUGGGGAGGCCUGGUUCGAAUCCUACAGCUGGCUAACCUUUUCAAUGACUUUCAUCUUCCAAGCUACUUCCCGUCCCAUCGCUUAAAGCCACAGGAUAUAUCCAUAUCCAUCCCAAUCCAUCCAGCAUCUUUCAAAAUGACAGCUCCCGUAAAAAGGUUUACUGCUCUAUCAUCAAUUGGGAAUAAGCCAGUCAAGCAAAGAGCAAACAGGUGAUGCUUGCACUAUAGCUGCACCUGCGUACGAUACUACAAGUCAGGUUGAACCAAAGUCUGAUGCCAUUCAGUGUACUGGCGUGAUAAAAACCGAGCCGCAGGUUGAAUGCAUUGACGGCACUGAAGGGUAUGGUUGUCCAAAAGAUGAGGUUCCAUCACCUGAAACAAAAUGAUGCAAUGCUGUAUUUCUCAGCCUGGGGAUCCAAACAGGUUUACGGCACAAAGCACAUUGCUGGUGCAAGAAGGAAGACCUCACAGGUGACAGAUUGCACAUGCAGCUAUUGUGCAGCAGCUGUCUCCAAUCUGUGGCUGAGCACUAGUUCUGGACCCCAAGGUGUGUCUCCACACGUCUACCUUUGAUCUCACUGCGCUUGGAAAAAAAUCCCGCAAGUCAUCUCUUGGAACCAGUUUUCAGAUUCUCAAGGAGUAGGUGCUGCCAUCGCGAGUCCAUCCAUUUUUCUCCCAGGAACAGUGAGCAAACCUUCCCGGUGUCUGCUACACUUGGAAGACUGCCGGCAGCUGUGCUGAGGAGCAAGGUUGCGAGAUGAGAGACAGAUUGAGGAUUCCAUCACACCAUACUUCUCAGGACUAUAAAUAGAGCUGAGCGCUGAAUGCUGGACCAAGAAGAGCAAUGAGAUCUACAAUAACAACGGAGGGAUCAUGGGAAAGUUUUGGAUAGUCUUGGUGAACUACGAGUCAAUCAAAGGCUUCAUAGGCACCGGAAGCAACCUUCUCAUCGCUGACUAAACAGGAAUUGCAGUGGCCAUCCACAGAGGCAAUGUCCAAAAGAGGCUGGAGCAGUAUUUUUGUAUUUAUUUAUUUAUUUUCCCCUCAAGGCCCAGACGGGCAAUACAGAGGGGAGUGGUUAAAAAUAAACAAUAAAUACAAUGUGGAACAUUAAGAAAUUACAGGAACGAUUAGUAUAUCAGUAACACCAGAAAGCUAGGUUACAUAAUAACAAACUAAAAAAACAACAUGAUAUUACACGUGAUAAUACAGCUUACAAUGAAGAAAAACCUGCUUUGCA
Ornithodoros turicata is the source of this 1257-nucleotide long non-coding RNA. RefSeq lists it as uncharacterized. The transcript is spliced from 7 exons. Lineage: Eukaryota; Metazoa; Arthropoda; Arachnida; Ixodida; Argasidae. The record is from RefSeq and is a predicted model, not a curated record.